Molecule: long non-coding RNA, 9393 nt
Organism: Falco peregrinus (peregrine falcon)
Lineage: Eukaryota; Metazoa; Chordata; Aves; Falconiformes; Falconidae
Exons: 10
Source: RefSeq, a predicted model, not a curated record
UCGUAAGACUUGGAACAUUUGCUUAAUGGCAGGUGCAGUUCGGUUGCUGCCAAAGGUAGCGCCUUCGUUGGGAAGCUGCUGGCUGAUACCUUGGCACAUCCCCCCCCCCCGCCGGCCUCGCUCUCCCAGUGACCUUUUUUCUGUUUUCCUUUCCGCACCUGGCCGUGCGCAGCUCACGCUGUAGCGUUGCCAUCCCGCCGCAGCGGGGAGCGUGCCCCGGCCGGCACGGGGGCGCCCCGCAGGGCCGGGGGAGGGCGCAGGCCUCGGGCCCGGCCGUCAGCUGCCUCGGCCUUGUGCUGAAGUGCAGGGUGGGGAAAACGCGGGUGCCGUGCCUCGGCGGGGAGGACGGGCCAGGCUGGGGGGGGGGUCCCUUGCCUGUUCUGCAGAAAUAAACAAUAACUCAGGAUAAGUUACAAAGCGGGUGUGUUUAAUUCACCGGUGGGCAGCAGGGUCUUUGGAAUUAUCCGUCCUGAUGCCCGCCAGUGAAUUAAACAUACCUGCUUUAUAACUUAUCCUGAGUUACAGAGUUUAUUUCUGCAGAACAGUUUGGCAACCCAGAUGGGGCUCUGCCUGACUGCAAAGUUGGUUGAGGGGAGGAUGUCCUCGGAGGAACUCCCCUGCGCCUCCAGCUGCUGCAGGCGUAGACGAGGACCAUCUGCCCGCAGAUAAGAGUACCAGAAAGUUUGUGGCAUGAGCCCCCCACAGGAUCCCAUGGUGUAGGCAUUAGAAAAGGAAAACCUAAAAGAAGGAAAAGACUCACCUUUGGAACCAAAAUGGGAUGGACCAUUCCAGGUCUUAUUGACAACACACACAGCUGUUAAAUUACAGGAGCAGUUGUCGUGGAUACAUCAUUCCAGGGUGAAGAAAGCCCCUAAACAACGCUGGGAGUUAAUGGAAACUGGACCUUUAAAACUCGGACUCAGACAAAGACAUUCUUGAACAAGACAGGUUUAAUAUAAUAAUAAAAACUGAUGGGGGAGGGAAGUUUAGAUUCUUAGACUGAUCAAUAACGGGUUUGGACUGUUUGUGCUUUUUUGUAUCCUCCCUCUUGUCUACAACCAAGAGCCUAAUAACUGGCCUUGGAAUCACGCUCAGAAAAACCGCGCUGGAAUAAUGGGAAGUGUAGACCCAAACCCAAAAUUAGCUACGGUGAUUUUUUUCCGGAAAUGAGGUGUACCAAAGAAAUCAGUGGGACCGGGAUGAUGAGGACAGAGUUGCCCGAUUGUGGGGGAAACUAGGAGAUAAAAUAAAAGUAGGAUGUCAAAUAUGUAAUAAAGAUGAUAACAUCAGAAAUUUGGGAGACACCCUGGUUGAUGUCAGAAAGGAAAACUGGUUCUGUCCUGUUCCGUUCUGGAAGAAACUCAAGACACGACUGCGUCUGUGUGAAGGGAGAAGGUGUGAGGUUCAGAGCAAGAGAGACUACUAAGCCUUCAUCCUCAACCACCCUCAACAGCCACCACCAGGAGGCAGUGCGCAAGCGCAAAUGGGAGCACUAUAGUGCUUUUCUAUGGAGAAGAAACAGAAAUGUGACUGAGAAUUUACUGUUGAAAGAUUGGGAAGUGUUUUGCCAGAGAAGCCGUUCAAGUGUAGCUACAUACUCCUUCACUGAAGUCUACAAAAAAUUUCCACCACCCUCUUAGAUGAAGGUAAGGGCUUACAACUGGAAAACUGACAACACGUAGAAUGAAUUUGUUAGAGUACUGAUUAGUGCAUCAGCUUCCCUAUCCCAGAAAUCUCACAUAUGUUUGUUAUAAACCCAGUGUACAGUGUGUGAAAUAGCCUGCUCUAAUUAAAAUUGCAACAAUGCCAGGAAAGUGAAGCUAAUUCAAAUAAGCUCUGUUAAGUCAUCUAACAUGGCAGUAUAUGCCAUGAGGUCAGAUUGCUUGGAUGCAGACUGGCGACAAGGGAAAUGGUAUGUGGUGAGAUCGUGUCUUUCCUUUUUUUUUUUCCUCCUCCUUUCAGCCAACACAUUAGAAGCUCAUUUGAACAGUCAGCUUAAUUUGCUAUACUGAUGUGGUGAUGACAACUUAGACAGCAUUUAACUCUCAGGAAGUAAAGCUUGUAACAGUGAAGCCCAAAAUGUUCAGUGAUGGAAUGUAGUCAUUUUGCAAUAUUAUUUAAUUUUGGUACCUAAAAAUCUGAAGAUGGUAAGUUAGUAUCUCUGGGCAAUGCUUUCACUAUUUUUUAGAUCUGUUUUACAAGCAGUGAAUAAAUAGGCUUCUGUCAGACAAAUAGCAUAGGAAGGAAGCUGACCUCUGGUCAAUCGUGAACCUGGCAAUUGGUUAUAUGCAUGGUAUACCAAAUGUAGAUAAACUGAAAGAGAGAAAGCCUUUGCUAAAAUGCUUGGCUCUUAAAAUAUGGAAAAGUUGAUUACAAAUGUAUUUUAUGUUUCUCUUUUUACUCUAAUAUUUUUUCCCCUCAGAGGUUACGAGCUGUAGCAAGGGGAGGGCUUUCUUCACUUGUCUAUGAUUAAUUGAUUAAUUUUAUAUCAUCAUUUUUAAUAUUUUCCAGUUCCCAGGAGAGCAGCCUGGCCUACUUGUUGGUGUGAGAAAUAAUGAUACUGUCCAUGUUUGUGUCUGCAAAUAUUAAAACCUAUAAAACAAAACACCUGUUAUUUGUUAAUCCCAUCAAGUUUUAUAUGAAUCCUAAACCAUUACCUGCCUCAGUGUCUGAACAAAACACAGUCAUGCAUGGAAGCAAAAAUGUGUAUGUUUUACAAAAUUAUCAGGUAUAUAAUCACGUGGCAUUUUUUCUUACAGAGUCCAAUCUUCGUUCAACUCAGAUAGUCAACUCUUACAAUUCACUGCUCUGCAUCUGCUUCUAAAUUUUCACAUCCUCCUCCCAAAUCCAUUGUUCCUCUUGUCCAUAAGUCCUUUAUUGUUCUGCUGACUCCUUAGUGUGCCGUGCAAAAGGAAUCUUGAGGGAGCUCAGUUUCUGAUCUUAGAAAUUUCUGUGGGACAAGAGGGAAAUGACGGGUUUCAAAAGCUUUGUAAUUUUUCCUUAUUUGAAAGACUGUAGAAGGGCUGGGUUUGACUUUAUGGUCAGCUCCUCCUCACAGUUACCCUGUUUUGGGUUCUCCUCUAAAAUGCAGAAAUAGUAAGGCUUGUAACCAAAGGAUUAUCAGUUUUGUUUAAAUAAGAAAGUCAACGUAUGGUAUCCAAUUUCAGCUGAAGCUUUAAAGCAAUAUUUAAUUGCGGAUUAAUGAAGGUAAAAGUAAUUGAAACAAAUUUUAAUGGUAGAUAUUGCAGAACUGUCAUUGUAAGCUACCCGUCUUACCAGCAGUGUAGCACUCCCUAACGGUGGGGACCUGGGUGCUUUCCCCUGGCUUGCAGGAUUGUUUGGCUCAGCAAAUGUUCCACCAUAUGUGACUGCUACUGCUUUCCUGGAGAGAGUAUGAUUUAGUCUUAGAAAUCAUGAAUAUUUGAGAUUAAAUUUGCCCGCAUACUUUUUCAAGGCCAUGUGUCUGGGAUAUGUAUUAGUCUGGUUUUGUCUACAUGCACUUAGUUGCAUGUUUUUGCUUGUCUUGGUUUCAAGGUACACUGAAUGUGCUGGAAUUUAAUCCUGUUCUUAUUUCACCUGGUUAUGAUAUUCACAUAGUUCAAAUUCUCCUUUCAAAAGAGUUUUGUUCAGCUGUGUUCCGCUCAGACUCUUUCAACCAUGCUAUUGAUGAGUAGGCAUGUUUCAGGUGUGCACCUGUGCACUAAGAUAUCCUUGCUGCCCGAGGAAGAACAUGCUCUGAGGAUAGCAAAGACUGAUAGGCACUCCUGCUUCUGGCUUUUUAUAAAUUUAUGGCAAUGUUACCUGUGAUAGACCGUACCUUGGAUCUGCUUCUCCCUUGAGCACUAUGGAACCAUUAGAAGGGCAGUGGAUGCUAAGAGAUGGUGUAGAUUCAAAAGCGAAUUGGUCUCCAUCAUAGAAGAAAAAGCCACCUAAGUCUGCUAGAUACAGUGGCUGGUGGACAACUGCUGGCCUAGGGAGUCCUGAGACAAAUGAAAUUUGGUUUGAUAGUGUGAGUGCGACAAAAAGCCCUCCGCGGUGUUAUGGAAAGUUUGCAUUUUUUGUUGUUCUUCAAACGUUUAAUUUCAAUUUUUCCAUUCAUUAAUAUUUUUUGCUGAUAAGUUGUUUUGUAAGAAGAGAUGAUGUACUACUAAAUAAUUCCUGGCUUAUGCUGUCCCUGUCCUCACAGGUGAGCUGUAGUUAAAGGCGCUAUUUGGCUAUUUACUAUCAUAAAGAUUUGGUAAAUCUAGGAUUUUUGGUUCAGUUCGGAAUGAGGAGAUCCUACUAAACUAGCUUGAAUGUCUCAAUUAAAAAUUGCAAGAUGUGCCCUUAAGGUAAUGACAACCUUUGCUUUCAUUUCUGCACAUUUCUCUAAUGAUUUGAAGCCAGACUGUGUCUAAGUUUCAAUUUUUUUGUUGUUGUUGGGUUUUGUUUUUUUUAAUUUGAUGUACCAAGAGAGGAUUACUCUAUCUGUAUAUAUGUAACUCAAAAAUUCAUCUGUCCUUUUUUCUGUCCACCUGCCCCAGAAUUCUCUUUACUGCUGCAGAGCUGUUACACUAAAAAUCUUGCUUAUGUGCACAAAGGAAACACACCUUUUACAUAAGUAAAGCUAAUAAAGCUAAAAAAUUAUUGUUAGUAUAACUGAAAGCGAAGCAGUCUAACCAUUAUUAGUCCAGAUCUAAUUGUUUAAAAAAUAAUGAUAAUGCAGAUUUGUUAUACAUACACUUCCUAGUGCCUAUUCCUUCUCCCAGUGUUGGGCUCACAUCUCCACUGCUGCUCUGGGUGCUGAGCUUGGUGGUUUCAUGCUGGUGGCAGUGGUGGGGUGUUAUGGUGAAUUGCCAGCAUAUGGAAUGCUCCACGGCAAGCAAUAUGAUGGUCAUAUUGAUGGUUUCUUCUUCGCUCUGGGAUCAACUUGGGGUCAUUUUUAUAUGUCUUUCAACUACAUUUUACAUCUUUCCUCUGUCUUCAUUGGUCUGCAGUUCCAUAUUACACCCAAAUUUACUAUAUGUGGUGUCUUUUACGUAAGUUAGAUACUAUUUCUUUGUUACCCCUAAACCCAGUUUUGUCCAGCUUCAGGUCUUCAUUUCUUUAACUGAACAUGGUUGAGUUAUAGCCAAGGAGUCUCCAGUGCCAGCCUGUGCUCCUUCCUUCAGCAUCCUAUGCUUGUGGCCCUCUUCACUGCAUCCUGUCUUUGCGGCUCAAGGGCUCUGCAGUUGUACCAUGCCUGUCUCUCUCUGUACUGCAUCAUCAUGCUAGUAGUAAACGCUAUUCUGUGUAGAGUAUCUGCUUGUUACUGCUUUCUGUGUAAAAACUGUGGUUGGUACUAUACAAAGACAAAUAAAACAAAGUAACUGUAGACACCUGGUACCCUUCCUGCUAUUCCAGCUUGUUCUCUGUUGAUAUUCUUAGCAGCUGGUUCAACUGGGUCAAAAGACUUCCAGGAAUGAAAGAAUGAAACAUGGGUGUAGAUACAUGUGGAUGAUAGUCAAAAUAUAUGUGGCUGACAGUCAAAUACGUACAGUGUUGACAACGAGACAAAAGGGGAUUCCCCACCCCCACCCCCCCUUCCGCCUGCAGGGCUGUGAAAAUAUGAAGAAAUGCACAGACAAUGGAUUGUGCAAGCCUUCUACAGAGAAACUGAGAGCACAAUGAACAAAUUCCCUUCCUUGUCCUCAGGCAUUGUAUGGUAAAUGGAAGAUCUGGGGUUAUUCUGAAAAGUAGCGAGAAUGAAAAUCUGGAAAUUUGCAUGCAGUGAUUUGGAGAAUUCUUUAAUAGAAUAUCUUCUCCUCUUUUAAAUUAAUGUAAUUUACUUUUAUUUAAUUGUCCUCUCCCUCUGCUGGAAAAUAACCCCUCCCAAUCCUGUUGCAUAUAUGUUUUAGUCUUAUAUAGUUCAAUACAGUUUGCAGGGGGAAUGCCCAGGACAUUUUCCAUGGUAACUGACAACUACUGAAGUAGGACUUAAACGCUUUAAACAGCGUAAAUCAAGUAAUAAUAAUGCUGUUAUCACUUAUAUUCCUUUCUUACAAUCUCCGUAGUGUUAUUAUAAAGGUAUAUAAAACCUUACAUAAUAGCAGAAAGCUUUAUAGCUUAUAAGAACUUGUUCAACAUAAAGACAGUUUUAAAUAUAUGGUGGUAAGGCUUUUUGAUGAGAUGUAUGAAGCAUUCUAGAGAAAAACACAUUGUACUGCAAUUUCAUUGAUGUAAGGUGGCAGAUGGAAACCUUGUCGUCUGCAGUACCACCUCAUUUCAAAGAGAAUGCAUUAACAGAGACAGAGUAUUGCAAUUUUUAAUGUAAAUAAUGAUUUGCCUUUCUGAAAGGGCCCAUUUACAGCGUUGAGGCCAUUAAACUUCUGCCUUGACUUUUUAGGACUGUAAUUCUGCAAGGGUAUUGCAGAGCCAGUUUGAGAUUGACAAUUAAGUUCUCGCUUGUGCUACAAAGCUUUCUUUUAUAUUUCUGUUAAACUCAACAAACGACUGCUACUAAUGUUUUGCUCAUCAACUAGUAAGUGGAGGCCAUUUAAAGCAGAAAUGUAGGGUUUAGCUCCAGCUGCUGUUCUAAUGUUGCAGAAAGCUUUUGCUGCAGUUCAUUAAAUUCAAGUUCAGGCAGUCGCAAAACUGCUAGCUAAUUAUUUUUUUCUUUCCUUGGCUGAGUGAAACCUGGUAUCACUGACUUCCACUCACAAAAUAGAGCUACAGAAUUCUUCAUUCUUGGAGACUGAAGACACAGAGCAGUGAGGAAGAUACCAGCGUAAUCCUUAAAAUAACAGAUCAAGCAGGACUCGGCAAAGAUGACAGUUUUCAAAAGGAUGUAGGAGAUGCUUCACUAGCAUGUCACCGCCGGACAACCCCCUCGGUGGCCAGGGGCACUGCCCAAAUGAAGGGAAGCAAAAUAAGUCACCUGCUCGCUCUGCUGACAAACAAAUGAACCGGCAAGCACAUACUAUGACACCCCCCCCCCCCCCCCCCCCCCCGCCUUCCUGAAAAAGUGCAAAUUGUUUGUUCAUCUGCCUGGUCAUUACCUGCUUUUGGGUAGACAUUCAGCUGUACUGUGUCUAAGGAAACGACCAGAAGACUGAGAAAUAACCUUUUCUGUAGCCAUAUUGUGCUUAGUGGUGCCAAGCAGUUUCUGAAUGGCUGCUUAAGCUCACUACUGUUGCAGCAGGAUAAUUUUCUAGACCUAAUAUUGUAGAUCUUCACAUUACUAGAAGGCUAAAACAUUUACAAGGCUUGUCUAAGUCUCUUGAUUUACAUCCCUGUUUAUCUCCUUUCAUUAUACUUUUCUUGGAAAAUUGUAUUCUCCUAGUAUUUUUUUAAAAUAAAGAAUACACUUUCCAAUCUGUAAGCCAUUACUCUAGAAGUCUUGCAACCGAUUGCCAAAGUUCUUUACUGAAUGUGAAGACCUUAUGAUCUUCAUUAGCAUACCAUAGGUAAUUCUCUUAUGCAGAGUUUAAAUUAGAAUUUUGAUUUUCUUCUUUCACGUAUCUUUUUUAACUGUUUGUAGAAUUCUGCCUGUACUGAAUCAAGCAACUAAAUCAUCUUAAAAAUUCCUCUAUUGAAUUGCAGGUGUGAAGACAAUUCCAAUGCUUCCGUUGAUUCCAGCAGGAGAAAAUGCAGACAGUAACCACUAGAAAAUACUGAAUCUGAGAAUGCCUCCUUUCUGGAUGUACAUAUGAGGCCUUUAUAAUCUGGAGUGAUAACAGGACAGAAUUUUGCAAAAGUGAGAUUUUGGGGAAGGUUUUCUAAAAAAACAAACAAAUCCAGAAGACCCCCAAAUGCCUGCUAAUGCAGUACAGCCAAGAGCCUGAUGUGUAUGACCACACUUCCCUCACCUUCCACCUGCACAGUCAUUUGGAUCGGAAAUUUCAAACAGGACCUAGAAGACUUCAGGGGGAGCAUUCUCAAAGCCAACAUCUGGAUAAUCCCAAUGGAGCCGAGAUGUGGGGCAGAGGCAGCGAGACAGCCAGAGAGUGAGCUGCUAGCAGUGGGAAGUCCUUCAGCAUGAUCACAGGGCAGUUUAUUGGCCCAGGACUCAUUUAUGUCGUUAGCAUCAGUUUCCAUUCUAGCUCCAUUAAAUCAAUCUACUUGUUAUUUUCAUUCUUGUUGCUAUUUGAUUUUAAAUUAAAUACCCUUAGCAUGUUUGACCUCAUCUGUAUCUUAACUGCACAUGCACAACUUCCACUACUCCAUAAAGUAAUAUUUUUUCAAUUUCUUCCCCUACCAAAUGCAAGUUUUGCUGUAAAACAACUUCUCCUCACAGAACAUUCGAAAACACCAAAAAAGAAAACUCAUAAAUAGAAAUAUCUGUUGUUAAUAAGGACUUACUUACGUGCAGUUUGUAUUUUGGACAUGAUGGCCCUGCAGGCUGAAGUAUACAUCCCAUUGCCUUGUUUGCCCUGAUCCUAGAUGCACUCCCUUCUCCCAGGAAAAACAGUGUGACUUUAUCUGUGUGAUCUUGCUCUGAACCCCAAAUGAGCAUCUCACAACUCAAGGUCAGUGCAUGCUGUUUGACUCACUACUUUUAUCUGACUCAUUUUUCAAAUUUCUAAAUUACUUUUUUAAAAACGUUAUUUUACAGGACAUUAGCUAGCCUUGUUGCACCUCCCUGACAAUGAAAAUUCCACAAAAAAUCUGAAUUAUUUCAUUACAAGUGCCAAAAUUUUUAUUGCAUGAAUGUAUGUUUCAAUGUAAGAAAACACAGCUAAAUUUUUUCUGACCAAAUACUUACACCUUCCUGACACCUCUGUUAAUGCAGUUGAUGUUUCCACAAUGGAAUAAUAACAAAAAUUAGUCAGACCAACUGCUCAGAUUCACAGUAGUGCUCUCUAUUGCUGUACAGUCAAAUUCAGGCUUUCUGUUCUUUAGCAAGGCAUAGUCUUGCAGUCACAUGAACAACUUGUUCAAGAUUAAUCAAAACAGAAACAUUUUAGCUUCAUUACAUUAAUCAAGCUAAUGAAACAUUAUAACUGAUAAUAUCUGAUAUAACUGAAAUAACUGAUCCAUUAAAGAUGAAUUGAAUAGAUUUGACCUGACAUCUAAUGAUACGAUAAUACGAAUGAGAGGAAUUCAGACUUUGGUACUGUUUAAUAGGUUAGUUUCUUCUCUCCUUGGCUUACUUCCAUUGAUAAGUGUAAGGGGUUUCAGGUUGUUUUGGCUUUGCUUAUUUUAAAAUAGUAUUAUCUCCUUGAAAAAACAGACUGGCAUUACCUUGUGUAUGGAUUUAUUUAUUUUUGCCAAAGCAGGAAUCUCUGUUAAUGAGGUCACUCCUGUUAUGUAACUAAAGGCAUCUAACGAAUUUCUGAAUUCCCCCUGGAGAGAUUAUUUCUAAGUCUACAAAGGAACUGUCAUCUCAGACUCCUCAGUUUGGGGUAAUACAACAGCACAGACACAUGACGAGGA